GUAAAUGUAGUUUAACUAAAACAUUAGAUUGUGAGUCUAAAAAUAGGGGAUUGUAUCCCCUUAUUUACC
RNAcentral lists this transfer RNA (69 nucleotides) under Scaptochirus moschatus (short-faced mole). RNAcentral's name for it is "tRNA-His". It matches the Rfam family "tRNA". From Rfam's summary of the family: Transfer RNA (tRNA) molecules are approximately 80 nucleotides in length. Their secondary structure includes four short double-helical elements and three loops (D, anti-codon, and T loops). Further hydrogen bonds mediate the characteristic L-shaped molecular structure. tRNAs have two regions of fundamental functional importance: the anti-codon, which is responsible for specific mRNA codon recognition, and the 3' end, to which the tRNAs corresponding amino acid is attached (by aminoacyl-tRNA synthetases). tRNAs cope with the degeneracy of the genetic code in two manners: having more than one tRNA (with a specific anti-codon) for a particular amino acid; and 'wobble' base-pairing, i.e. permitting non-standard base-pairing at the 3rd anti-codon position. Lineage: Eukaryota; Metazoa; Chordata; Mammalia; Eulipotyphla; Talpidae. The record is from RNAcentral.